GUUGCUUGAUACUACUGCUGUCAAACGGAUCUGUCAAAUGAAACUGUCAAACUACUGCAAUGAUAACCGGGCUAUUGUAAAACGAAAGUGAAAGUGAAAACUAAAAUGUGGCGCAAGAAUAUUAAAGAAAACUAUGGCUUAUUAAGAGAAAUUAUGGUGAAAAGUUUACUGCGCGUCCCAUUUCAAGCGCCUCGACAUUUAAGGAACUAGUGGAGUGGAUUAUCGACUGCGAAAGGUCUUCGCUGCCUCUUUUGUCCUGGAUUCGCUGCAAAAGAUCAUAUUCAUCGCCGGUGCUCACCAUAUUACGGCCAAAGUUGACGAAGUACGGUGUGUACCCCGUACUGUCGUGUACAUUUGUGCGAAUUGCCUUCGCGAUCUGAUGGACAGACUCAUCCCAGUCCCGGUGGUCGCUUUUACGGUUAAGCGAACAUCGAAUCGCAGUAACAAUAACCCGAUUGACGCGCUCCGUCGGAUUCGGUGCGGGAUGAUACACAGAGAGAUUCCAGUAACUGAAAUUCGAGCUUCAAGAUGGACAGAUCUGACCUUAGCUUCUUCUCAAUGCCGGCGUUCCCACGUCGGAUGCAAUCUGCAGUCGAAUUCGAGCUUUCGUGGAUGCCACAAGCGAAAGUAGG
Long non-coding RNA from Armigeres subalbatus, 632 nucleotides. RefSeq lists it as uncharacterized. The record is from RefSeq and is a predicted model, not a curated record. Lineage: Eukaryota; Metazoa; Arthropoda; Insecta; Diptera; Culicidae. The transcript is spliced from 3 exons.